Pongo abelii (Sumatran orangutan) is the source of this 147-nucleotide unclassified non-coding RNA. It matches the Rfam family "Metazoan signal recognition particle RNA". Rfam says of the family: The signal recognition particle (SRP) is a universally conserved ribonucleoprotein. The record is from Ensembl. NCBI's taxonomy places the organism in Eukaryota, Metazoa, Chordata, Mammalia, Primates, Hominidae.
GUCGGGUGUAAUGGUUUGCACCUGUAGUCCCAACUGCUGGGAGGCUGAGGUGGGAGGAUGACUUGAGCCCGGGAGGCGGAGGCUGCAGUGAGCUGUGUUCGAGCCACUGCACUCCAGCCUGGGUGACAGAGCCAGAUCCUGUCUCAA